GCUGUUGUGUAGGACAGUAGCAGUUCUGCCUUCUAAACUAUUUCUAUUCAUUUCUUUUAGCAGAUCAACAUAAUAUGGUCAAACAGUGAGAAAACUACAACUUCCAGUCAGCAGUCAUAAUAAGGUCAGUAACCACUGAUAUUAACACCUGUCAAAUUUUAGAAUCGCAGCACUUUAAGUUUUUCCUUAAAGGGAUAGUUCACCUAUUUUGAAAAAUGUGAUAUAAUUGCACUUCCCUUCAGAAAAUUGUCCCGCCACAAAUACAAAGAUUCCUGAAUGCCAACAAGAUCCAUGAUCUGCUUCAAUCAGGGUUCAAAGCCCUCCACAGCACUGACACAUGAGAUCUACUAGAUCCUAGUGCCGCCUUCAAUCCUGUGAAU
Long non-coding RNA from Myripristis murdjan (pinecone soldierfish), 380 nucleotides. RefSeq lists it as uncharacterized. NCBI's taxonomy places the organism in Eukaryota, Metazoa, Chordata, Actinopteri, Holocentriformes, Holocentridae. The transcript is spliced from 3 exons. The record is from RefSeq and is a predicted model, not a curated record.